RNAcentral lists this long non-coding RNA (328 nucleotides) under Arabidopsis lyrata. Its description in RNAcentral is "long non-coding RNA (ALYR_LNC002873)". Lineage: Eukaryota; Viridiplantae; Streptophyta; Magnoliopsida; Brassicales; Brassicaceae. The record is from RNAcentral.
GCUGCGUUCAAUAUAAGAGAUCUAAGUGGCAGGACAAGAACCUUCACUUUUACAUAAACCAUUUUCGAGCUUAAGAAUUCCAGCAAAUGGUCCGGUGAGAGUUCCGAUAUAUAGAUUGCCCUCAAAUUCGUUGACUUCGCUGAGUAAAGUGUCUCCAAAUUUAUCUUUGAGAGGAAUUGUCUGAAGCACUUCACCAUUAGAGUUAACUUUAACUGCUGAUGGGUUUGUAGGCACGAUGAUCUUGUUCACCACGGAAGCGACCCAAAAGUUUCCAGUAGAACCAAUUCUUUUGAUGUUGUCAGGGUUUGAGACCGAGUUGGUGAAGUCU